GACGAACGCUGGCGGCGUGCUUAACACAUGCAAGUCGAACGAUGAUGCCCAGCUUGCUGGGUGGAUUAGUGGCGAACGGGUGAGUAACACGUGAGUAACCUGCCCCUGACUCUGGGAUAGGCGUUGGAAACGACGUCUAAUACUGGAUAUGACUGCCGGCCGCAUGGUCUGGUGGUGGAAAGAUUUUUUGGUUGGGGAUGGACUCGCGGCCUAUCAGCUUGUUGGUGAGGUAAUGGCUCACCAAGGCGACGACGGGUAGCCGGCCUGAGAGGGUGACCGGCCACACUGGGACUGAGACACGGCCCAGACUCCUACGGGAGGCAGCAGUGGGGAAUAUUGCACAAUGGGCGAAAGCCUGAUGCAGCAACGCCGCGUGAGGGAUGACGGCCUUCGGGUUGCAAACCUCUUUUAGUAGGGAAGAAGCGAAAGUGACGGUACCUGCAGAAAAAGCACCGGCUAACUACGUGCCAGCCGCCGCCGUAA
Molecule: ribosomal RNA, 483 nt
Filed under: uncultured bacterium
Lineage: Bacteria
Description: partial 16S ribosomal RNA
Rfam family: Bacterial small subunit ribosomal RNA
Source: RNAcentral